Long non-coding RNA from Homo sapiens (human), 1184 nucleotides. RefSeq lists it as uncharacterized. The transcript is spliced from 2 exons. NCBI's taxonomy places the organism in Eukaryota, Metazoa, Chordata, Mammalia, Primates, Hominidae. The record is from RefSeq and is a predicted model, not a curated record.
CUCCUCACAUUGUGAUCCACCCGCCUCGGCCUCCCAAAGUUCUGGGAUUACAAGCGUGAGCCACCGCGCCUGGCCGUGUGUUUGAGAUUCCUAGAGACAUUAGUAAAACCCUCCAAAAGAGUGGGGACCUUACACCAGCCUGCCGGUUCAAGCUCCAUACUGGACCUCCACCUCCCCAACCCCCACCCCCACCCCACCAGAAAAGGACCCUCCAUCCCCUUCAGGUCAUAGAGUGAGGAAGAGGGAAGCUUCAACAGGCCCAGAUGGCCCUGGUAAUGGGCACGGUGACAUUUGGGCAGAGAACCCCAGGGCCCUGCAUCUGCAGACCUGGGACAGGCAGAGAAUGUCCAAUGGGGGUGCUAGUGGCAUUGCCUGGCCAUGACUCUGUCCAGCUGUGGCAUCAUGUCCCAUGGCCAAAGUGUCCAAGCAAGCCUGCUUCUGCCAUUGACCUAGGGAGGCCUCUUGACACCUGCUCAUUUUCCAAGCCUGUUCCUCCUGCAUCCUCAAGAUUCGGAGUGCCCUCCAAAAUAAGAUCUUUUUCUGUAGUUGUUACUAUGGGUUAAGAACCCUCCUGUCUGAUACAUACAACUGAUUACAAACUUUUAAUUUUUGCCAAUCUGAUAAGCAAAAAAAAAGAAAGUAGUUCAUGGAUUUAGUUUACAUUUCCUUUUUAACAGGGAGGUUGGGUAGAGACUUCUUGGUUUGCUCAUGCCUGUAAUCCUAGCACUUUGGGAGGCUAAGGUAGGAAGAUCGCUUGAACUCAGGAAUUCAAGCCAACCUGGGCAACAUAGCAAGACCUCACCUCCACUAAAGGGAAAAAACAAUCCAUGUUCCUUUUCUUCCAACCCAACAGAUCUGUGGCUGGGCAGCAGCUGCUGAGCUCAACUACAAUUCCAGCCUGCUUUACAGUUAGGCUUGUCCACAGGACCAAGUUCUCAGUGACAGAAUCUCAUCCCAUCAGUUGAAGACCUUAAGAGAAAAGAGACUGACCUGCUCUGAGCAAGGAGGAAUUCUGCUGGCCAACUGCUUGUGAACUCCAACUUGUAAUAUCGGUCUCCAGCCUACCGGCUUACUCUGCAGAUUUUGGAUUUGCCAAGCCUCCACAACCGCAGAAGCCAAUUCCUUAAAAUGAAUCCCUUACAACAGUUCCCUAAAAUAAAUUCUUCAAAAUUCCUUAAAAUAAA